AAAAUGUUUGAGGAAGUACGGGAGAGGUUUGCCAGAGGAGAGUUGGAAACUGAUCAAAGACCUGAAUUCGAACAGGUGACAGGAUCUGAAAUGAUGGAAACUUGUUAUCUGGUGAACGAGUUAUUCAUUGGAUCAGAGGA
This is a long non-coding RNA of Stylophora pistillata, 140 nucleotides long. The record is from RefSeq and is a predicted model, not a curated record. NCBI's taxonomy places the organism in Eukaryota, Metazoa, Cnidaria, Anthozoa, Scleractinia, Pocilloporidae.